AUAGUUCUAAGAACAAAGAAAAUACAUACCAAAGUAAAAAAUAGGGUGUCAUCAAGAAUGCCUAAUUGUUCAAGUAUACAUUAUGGGCUGGGCUCAUGACCAAUCACACAUAGAGCAUAAAUACAAAUUUGAGUUGAUUCAUUUAAACACGGGAUCAGGAUAAUACAAAAAGAAGCAGACUGACAACAUACUUAUAUACCUAGAUAGACCCACCCUAACCACCCUGCCACUGACUCACUACUCGCCUUUUAGCACCUAUAUAUCAAACAAAAGAAUGGAAACCUCCUCUGCACCUAUGUUGUUGCAGAGAAUUAAAACAAGCCAUUCAACUGAUAACUUGCUGGGAGCGAGUCAAAGUGCAACUUCAAGGACCAAUAACACACAAUAAAAGAUCAAGAACAACUUAUAUGCAAUAAAGGUGUGAGAGAGAAGAAAUCUUUACAUAAGACGGCUAUAAACACCGGAGCAUAAAUAAGCAACACCUUUAACUACAAAUAAAAAGGAUUCGGGGUUCAAUGCAUGGUGGGCUCAGAUUCGCCUUUUCUCGAUCAUAUGACCUACCCCCGUCAUCUCUUAUCACCAGAUCAAUCUGUUUAUAGAGUGGAGCUGCCCUGGUUAUCACUCAACAAGAAUGACCAUCCAAGGACAGAACAAUAAGUAUCACAAGAUCAAAAAGGAUUCUAGAGACAAGAGGGAGGAUCCAACUUGAUACCCACAGGUGUCUUGAUUGCUCAAAGGCACAUUUAUUUCAGCCAUGGUUAAUCAUCAUUGCCCUAGCAAGAAUGGCCUCCGACCGGUGGGGCACGUGACUGGACGCACAGGCCAUGCCCGCACACACGGUCGCUGACGGCACACAAAGGGCCCCACACGCCAGCGAUCACGGGUCGAAUAGACCGAGUGAGCGACGCUGCGAGCCAAACGAGCUAACCCAUCGAUACAGCACCGGGUUUCGAUCCGGCGACCGGGAUCGAUCCAGAGCAAGAUCCAACGACCAGAAUAGCAUCAGGAAAAUGAUCGGACGGCCAGGAAGCCCAAAUCGCUUAGGGGCCGAGGUUUUCGAUCGGUCUCAUGUUUCUGGAUGUUCUUACAAGGGUGAAACUGCCCUGGUUAUCACUCAUCAGAAAUGACCAUCCAAGGACAGAGCCGCUAAAAUAAGAACAUGAUCAAAACGGCAAAGAAACGAGGGGGUAUCCAACUUAAUACCCACAAGUGCCUCGAUUGCUUGAGAGCAUGCUUAUAUCAGCCAUAAUCGAUCAUCAUAGCCCUCACUAUGUCCCAUACAGUAGCCGAAGCAGAGGAGCAGGAGGAAGAUGCAACUCACAGAGGGAGGUUGUAGCCGAGGCAGUACUCAGUGGGUGCCAGAGCUGCGGUUGAACGACGUCCAACCGGCAAGGAACCACUUCCUACACUCCUGAACCGUCAUAAAAAGAAGCAGGAGCUCAUCAUUUCCCAUUGCUCCUAAAAAAAUCAGCCAUAACCGAUCAUCAUAGCCCUGACUAUGACCCAUACAGUAGCCGAAGCAGAGGAGCAGGAGGAAGAUGCAACUCACCGAGGGAGGUUGUAGCCGAGGCAGUACUCA
RNAcentral lists this long non-coding RNA (1579 nucleotides) under Triticum aestivum (bread wheat). Its description in RNAcentral is "long non-coding RNA (TAES_LNC017241)". Lineage: Eukaryota; Viridiplantae; Streptophyta; Magnoliopsida; Poales; Poaceae. The record is from RNAcentral.